GAUGACGGCCUUUCGGGUUGUAAACCUUCUUUCAGUAGGGACGAAGCGCAAGUGACGGUACCUAUAGAAGAAGGACCGGCCAACUACGUGCCAGCAGCCGCGGUAAUACGUAGGGUCCGAGCGUUGUCCGGAAUUACUGGGCGUAAAGAGCUCGUAGGUGGUUUGUCGCGUUGUUCGUGAAAACUCACAGCUCAACUGUGGGCGUGCGGGCGAUACGGGCAGACUGGAGUACUGCAGGGGAGACUGGAAUUCCUGGUGUAGCGGUGGAAUGCGCAGAUAUCAGGAGGAACACCGGUGGCGAAGGCGGGUCUCUGGGCAGUAACUGACGCUGAGGAGCGAAAGCGUGGGGAGCGAACAGGAUUAGAUACCCUGGUAGUCCACGCCGUAAACGGUGGGUACUAGGUGUGGGUUUCCUUCCUUGGGAUCCGUGCCGUAGCUAACGCAUUAAGUACCCCGCCUGGGGAGUACGGCCGCAAGGCUAAAACUCAAAGAAAUUGACGGGGGCCCGCACAAGCGGCGGAGCAUGUGGAUUAAUUCGAUGCAACGCGAAGAACCUUACCUGGGUUUGACAUGCACAGGACGUGCCUAGAGAUAGGUAUUCCCUUGUGGCCUGUGUGCAGGUGGUGCAUGGCUGUCGUCAGCUCGUGUCGUGAGAUGUUGGGUUAAGUCCCGCAACGAGCGCAACCCCUAUCUUAUGUUGCCAGCGCGUUAUGGCGGGGACUCGUAAGAGACUGCCGGGGUCAACUCGGAGGAAGGUGGGGAUGACGUCAAGUCAUCAUGCCCCUUAUGUCCAGGGCUUCACACAUGCUACAAUGGCCGGUACAGAGGGCUGCGAAUCCGUGAGGUGGAGCGAAUCCCUUUAAAGCCGGUCUCAGUUCGGAUCGGGGUCUGCAACUCGACCCCGUGAAGUCGGAGUCGCUAGUAAUCGCAGAUCAGCAACGCUGCGGUGAAUACGUUCCCGGGCCUUGUACACACCGCCCGUCACGUCAUGAAAGUCGGUAACACCCGAAGCCGG
Molecule: ribosomal RNA, 1015 nt
Filed under: Mycobacterium sp.
Lineage: Bacteria; Bacillati; Actinomycetota; Actinomycetes; Mycobacteriales; Mycobacteriaceae
Description: bacterial SSU rRNA
Rfam family: Bacterial small subunit ribosomal RNA
Source: RNAcentral